UCCUGACGCUCCGCAGGGACCCCUGACUGGACGGCGGCGCGUGAGCGGCGCGAGAAGCUUCGCCGCGGGGGUGCGCGGGCACGCCGAAGCCGCUUACCUGGGCCCACACCGGCCUGCUCUGGCGCCCGGCUGUGACGGGUGCGGCGGCGGGUGGUGGCGGUGGCGGCCGCAGGCUUCGCUCCUUGUUGGGGAUUCGGCGGCGGCGGCGGCGGCGGCGGCGGCGCGGGCGCGCGCUUCCUAGUGACGCAGACACCAAGGCCGCGCACGCACGUGUCGGGCGGGUUAGGAGACUUAUUUGGCGCCCGGCGCGGAAGCGGAUGGCGUGACCAGAAUUGAAGCCCAACCCAGUUCAUUGAGCUGAAACCCACGUGCUACAGGGCUGGUGCCUUCUGGAUGAAGCAAAGGGGAGCCAUUUUCUGCCACCCAUGGCUUCCAGAAGGACUUGAUGGAAGGGAGUACGAUGCCAUGCCUGGAGUGGCC
This is a long non-coding RNA of Phodopus roborovskii (desert hamster), 480 nucleotides long. RefSeq lists it as uncharacterized. Lineage: Eukaryota; Metazoa; Chordata; Mammalia; Rodentia; Cricetidae. The transcript is spliced from 3 exons. The record is from RefSeq and is a predicted model, not a curated record.